RNAcentral lists this long non-coding RNA (442 nucleotides) under Androctonus crassicauda. The record is from RNAcentral. Lineage: Eukaryota; Metazoa; Arthropoda; Arachnida; Scorpiones; Buthidae.
AAGAUAAUUAGUGUGAUAUGUACUUUGUAUCUCAGGUAAUAAUUAAAAAAAAAAAAAAAAUUACAUUACGCCCUCUUUGUAUAUGGAAGAAGAAGUGGAAGCCCGUGGGAACCUACAGCGACAAAACAAAAGAACAUUCAGACUUUGCACAAAAUAGAAAUCCAGCACAAAAGGGGGAAAAUAUUUUGAACCACAAGACGGUGUGCGACCAUAGUCUGAUUUUGUAUUUGAUAUAAUUUCCUACGGAGACACACACGCUGGAAAUUUCUGCUCUUUCAAAGGAAAAUAAAAAAAAUCUAAGGAAUUAUCAUAUCUUAUAUAUAUAAAAAGUAUAUAUAUAUAUAUAUAUAUUUGCAUUUAUUUGCUUACCAAAUUUUUGUAGUCCAGGCAAUACGGCGUGCAAUGUAUUAUAUAUAUAAAUAUAUAUAAAUAUCUCAUCGAC